GAUGAAGAACGUAGCGAAAUGCGAUAAGUAAUGUGAAUUGCAGAAUUCCGUGAAUCAUCGAAUUUUUGAACGCACAUUGCGCCCCCUGGCAUUCCGGGGGGCAUGCCUGUCCGAGCGUCAUUUCUGCCCUCAAGCACGGCUUGUGUGUUGGGUGUGGUCCCCCCGGGGACCUGCCCGAAAGGCAGCGGCGACGUCCGUCUGGUCCUCGAGCGUAUGGGGCUCUGUCACUCGCUCGGGAAGGACCUGCGGGGGUUGGUCACCACUAUAUUUUACCACGGUUGACCUCGGAUCAGGUAGGAGUUACCCGCUGAACUUAAGCAUAUCAAUAAGCGGAGGA
This 337-nucleotide unclassified non-coding RNA is filed under the name soil metagenome. Its description in RNAcentral is "partial contains 5.8S ribosomal RNA, internal transcribed spacer 2, and large subunit ribosomal RNA". The stretch from base 1 to 120 matches the Rfam family "5.8S ribosomal RNA", at positions 35 to 154 of the family's 154-position model. The record is from RNAcentral.